GAAAUGCGAUAAGUAAUGUGAAUUGCAGAAUUCAGUGAAUCAUCGAAUCUUUGAACGCACAUUGCGCCCGGCAGCAAUCUGCCGGGCAUGCCUGUCCGAGCGUCAUUUCUGCCCUCGAGCGCGGUUCGGCCCCUAGCGGGCCGGCCGCCGCCCGGUGUUGGGGCGCUGCGGGCCCUCGUGCCCGCAGGCCCUGAAAUGAAGUGGCGGUCCCGCCGCGGCGCCCCUUGCGUAGUAGUAAAGCACCUCGCAUUGGGUCCCAGCGGAGGCCAGCCGUCGAACCUCUCUUUUGAUGGUUUGACCUCGGAUCAGGUAGGGUUACCCGCUGAACUUAAGC
This 334-nucleotide unclassified non-coding RNA is filed under the name plant metagenome. RNAcentral describes it as "partial contains 5.8S ribosomal RNA, internal transcribed spacer 2, and large subunit ribosomal RNA". The stretch from base 1 to 105 matches the Rfam family "5.8S ribosomal RNA", at positions 50 to 154 of the family's 154-position model. The record is from RNAcentral.